AGGCCCCUUUGUGUGACUAAAUUUGGCGAGAAUAUGGAUCCGAGCCAGUCUUUCCACGUGUGCUCCCAGCUCCCAGCUGAGAAGGCCAAGGGUUCUCUUCCGGAUGAAGCUUUUUGAAAUUUAUUAUUGGCCAAAAGGGGAACAUAGACCAAGGCACUGAGGAUUCUAUCUUGUUUUUUGGGAGCAGCAGGGAGGCUCUGAAAAUACUCAAGGAAAACCUGGGGCAUUCUAUUGAAGAAAAUAAACUCCCUGAAGGGGAGGCUUGGCCAAGGGAUUUACUUGUUUUUAUAAAUCUGUUUCCCCAGUGACUAUGGUAAUGGAGGUGUUUCUUGAAUUGUGGUAAAUGCACCUCGUAAAAUGGACGGCCUGGGCUGUAUUCUCAGGCUUCCUGGGCUCUGUCAGCGUUGGGCAAGCACCUAAUCCCUGGAUUGAGGCUGGAAGCCAAAGCCACAACCUUCUUGCCUAAAGGCAAGAGCAAGUACCAAUUGAGCCAUAUGGAGAUUAAUGCAGAACAAGGUCAUUAGUCUCAUUGUUUAUCCAGUUACUUGCAGCACAGAUCUGUGUAAGUUUCAGCUACGGGGCUUGCAGCCUGCCUUUGAUGUGUGUCAUCUGUAUGUUCUAGUGCUCCAGGAAAGUGCCUGACUGACAGGAUCCACAUCCAAUGCCCAGAAAACACAUCUUACACAAGUACAGUGAAGCGUGGAGCUGAACAAUUUUCCAGUAGUUUCAUCAAAGUAAAUAAACCAACCUGAAGGGUCAGGA
Molecule: long non-coding RNA, 762 nt
Organism: Propithecus coquereli (Coquerel's sifaka)
Lineage: Eukaryota; Metazoa; Chordata; Mammalia; Primates; Indriidae
Exons: 2
Source: RefSeq, a predicted model, not a curated record